Molecule: ribosomal RNA, 467 nt
Filed under: uncultured bacterium
Lineage: Bacteria
Description: partial 16S ribosomal RNA
Rfam family: Bacterial small subunit ribosomal RNA
Source: RNAcentral
GACGAACGCUGGCGGCGUGCUUAACACAUGCAAGUCGAACGGAAAGGCCCUGCUUUUGUGGGGUGCUCGAGUGGCGAACGGGUGAGUAACACGUGAGUAACCUGCCCUUGACUUUGGGAUAACUUCAGGAAACUGGGGCUAAUACCGGAUAGGAGCUCCUGCUGCAUGGUGGGGGUUGGAAAGUUUCGGCGGUUGGGGAUGGACUCGCGGCUUAUCAGCUUGUUGGUGGGGUAGUGGCUUACCAAGGCUUUGACGGGUAGCCGGCCUGAGAGGGUGACCGGCCACAUUGGGACUGGGAUACGGCCCAGACCCCGACGGGGGGCAGGAGUGGGGAAUAUUGCAAAAUGGGCGGAAGCCUGAUGCAGCAACGCCGCGUGGGGGAUGGCGGCCUUCGGGUUGUAACCCGCUUUCGCCUGUGACGAAGCGUGGGUGACGGUAAUGGGUAAAGAAGCACCGGCUAACUACGU